RNAcentral lists this ribosomal RNA (637 nucleotides) under Escherichia coli. RNAcentral's name for it is "bacterial SSU rRNA". It matches the Rfam family "Bacterial small subunit ribosomal RNA", at positions 65 to 747 of the family's 1533-position model. Lineage: Bacteria; Pseudomonadati; Pseudomonadota; Gammaproteobacteria; Enterobacterales; Enterobacteriaceae. The record is from RNAcentral.
AGCUUUCUUGAUGGAGGGGAGCGGCAGACGGGUGAGUAACGCGUGGGAAUCUACCUAGCUCUACGGAAUAACCCAGGGAAACUUGGACUAAUACCGUAUACGUCCGAGAGGAGAAAGAUUUAUCGGAGUUAGAUGAGCCCGCGUUGGAUUAGCUAGUUGGUGGGGUAAAGGCCUACCAAGGCGACGAUCCAUAGCUGGUCUGAGAGGAUGAUCAGCCACACUGGGACUGAGACACGGCCCAGACUCCUACGGGAGGCAGCAGUGGGGAAUAUUGGACAAUGGGCGCAAGCCUGAUCCAGCCAUGCCGCGUGAGUGAUGACGGCCUUAGGGUUGUAAAGCUCUUUCAACGGUGAAGAUAAUGACGGUAACCGUAGAAGAAGCCCCGGCUAACUUCGUGCCAGCAGCCGCGGUAAUACGAAGGGGGCUAGCGUUGUUCGGAAUUACUGGGCGUAAAGCGCACGUAGGCGGAUACUUAAGUCAGGGGUGAAAUCCCGGGGCUCAACCCCGGAACUGCCUUUGAUACUGGGUAUCUAGAGUAUGGUAGAGGUGAGUGGAAUUCCGAGUGUAGAGGUGAAAUUCGUAGAUAUUCGGAGGAACACCAGUGGCGAAGGCGGCUCACUGGACCAUUACUGACGCU